RNAcentral lists this long non-coding RNA (1143 nucleotides) under Pogona vitticeps (central bearded dragon). Its description in RNAcentral is "lncRNA (ENSPVIG00000011615.1)". Lineage: Eukaryota; Metazoa; Chordata; Lepidosauria; Squamata; Agamidae. The record is from RNAcentral.
AUGGAAGCUGAGCAAUAUCGAAAAGAGUUGUUGCCUUAUCCUAUGCUUGCUAAUGCUGAGAAGAUACUUGGGACUUCAACAGUGAUAAAGGAUGUAUCAAAAGGGAAAAUCUAUUGCCGUUUUCUGGAAAGUUGUUCAAAUCCUUCAUUUAAGUCGCACAUUACAAAUGGAAAACCAUCAGUGGAACCAGCCACUGUUCUUGGCCAGCUGUAUUCUGAUGAAGAGCCCGAGGGAAACCAGACUGAUGGGGAAUUGUUUUCCCCAGAUUACAAAGAAGUAGGGCAGCCAGCCCAGCCUCUUUCCUAUCUUCCUCCUAAAUCAAACCUGCAUAAUAAACUGCAUAGAGCCCAUGAUGAAACUACUCUAAGACAUAAGGUAAACUCUAACACUUGUUCAGAUCUCAAAUUGCCAAUACAUAGAACUAACUCUACAUUUUGGAUAGAUGAAAUAACACAUAUAGAAACAUCUUCAUCCGACGAUCAAGAGGAUGAAGAGGAUGAAGCAGAGCUACCUCGGUAUAAGACAGCACUGAAGAGCCAGCAGAAAAAGUAUAUUUCUCAAGCAAAACAAGACAGAUGUCAACAUAUCAGUUAUGAAGAUGUCUUCCCUGUCAGCAGUGGCAGAGAUUGCUACAAGAAGAAACUGAAAGACCACAAACUGCAGCUGCAGACCCAGUUGGUAAAGGAAAGUCAAUGGUAUGAUUCUAUGUUGUGUCUGAUGAACAAACUGGAAAAACUGAACUUGGAUAUUGAAGAUGCUCUCAGUGCUGACUCCUCUCCUUCUGGGACUCCAUACACCAAAAGAUGUAAACAGAUGGUGAGAGAAUGUUACUAUAUCAUUUACUGUGCAGAAAAAUUUGUAGAACAAUGGAGGCCUUAUUAGCUGCAGUUAGUUUCAGCAAGAACCUUCUUGUCUCAAGCUGUAUGCAUUAUAUGUUUCCAAAAUCAAAUUGUGGGUGUUUGGAGUUUUUAAAAUAAUUCAGAGUUGUUACUGAAGCUUUUGUGCAUUCUUCUUCUAGCACCUUUCAUUUCAUUGCACAUUUCCUAGAUUUUUCCUUGCCAUUAGUUUUUCAUAACACACAUUUUAAAUGUCUUUAACCAAUUAUUUACAGUAUGUUGUAAUAAAUACUUGAAACUUUCAACA